This 1666-nucleotide long non-coding RNA is filed under the name Homo sapiens (human). Its description in RNAcentral is "PREDICTED lncRNA (TCONS_00183067)". The record is from RNAcentral. Lineage: Eukaryota; Metazoa; Chordata; Mammalia; Primates; Hominidae.
UCUCAACAUUUUUAGCAGCCUUCUCCUAAAUGUUUCCUAAUGUCACGUACAAAAACAUAGGGAAUUUGCAUGGAAAAUCUUCCACUAGGGAAAAGGAAAACACCUUAAUUUGAAACUGAGCUAACAUGUUGAUUUGGGGGCUUUACGAGCAAGGGUAUGAACAAAGCGGGGCAGUUGGAGAAGCGGAAGAAGAGAAAAAGAGGUGAAGCCAUCAGUGUCUACAGCUUCAGCUAUUGCCCGUGUGCAGAUGGUGCUUAAUCUCUCUUGUGCCUUCCAGACCUGCAUUCCAGCCACCUACCAAACCCCUUUCUGUGGAUGCCAAGAAAAGUCUUCAGACCGUGGACAAUGUGCUCUUUGCCCCUAUUAUGGAGAAAGGUGUUCCCUAGGAUGAUGACACAAGGAUUUAAUGAGUAGAAGACAACAACUUAAAACCUCUCAUUUGAGCAUGAAUUGUCUAGGUUAAAGGUAGGCAUUGAGAUCCCAUUAGCUACUGGCACACUUGGGAAAAGAAAUGUACACAUGCACAGACACACUUUAAAGCAAGACUUCAUAAAAAUACAGCGAUGCCUGUUUCUACUCAGACCCAAAAAUGGAAUUAAAGCCAAAACUUACAACCCCUCUACUAAUUAGAGAAGUAAAAAUGUCUUCACCCCAAGUGUCCCAGCACAACGUGAAACCGAAACAAGCUGCCUUUCUUUGGAUUCCACUUAUUUAUUUAUGUUUAAAAGAAUAUUUGAAGAAAAGGACGCCUAGUAAAAGAACAGUUGGAGAAAACAUGGGACACCAUACAUUGGAAGAGAAAUGUAGAUGAAGUACACAGCUACAACAGGGAUAUUUUUUUUCUUGUUGAAACACAUGAUAAUGGGCUAAUAAAAAUCUGGUUACCUUUACAUUUCUUCUCCUCCGUUUGGAAGGUCUGGGCACUUGAGACACUCUGGUCGUUCACAUCAUCAUGGUCCAGAUGGAAUAUUGAGCUAGUCCAAGUGGUCUGGAUGAGAUGUGGCGACGACUGUUCAUUUUUCAACGUGCUGCGCCUCUCUGAAUGGCUCUUCCUAUGUAGGCAGGCUUCAGACAUUCCUACUAGCUUCCAGUCGUGUUCUCGGUCUGGACAGUGCUUCGGUUUGUCCCAGGCUGUAAGGCCAUUUUCUAAAGGGUUGAAAAACACGAGAUGACGAGCUGUUGGCAUUGUCAAGAUUUUGCUGAGAUGCAGAGUUUUGGAAGGCAAGUUGUUUCUCAAUUCUUUUGGGCUGACAGUAUUCACAUGCCACUUGACGGGAGUGAUAAGAUGCAGAAUUUGUCAGCCUUGGGCAUUUAGCCACUGCAGUUGGGUUGCCUGUCGGAGUAAUCAACACAUUCCCCCUUAUUUUAAAUGCCUAGAAAGACAUUAGUUCCUGCAUGGCAAGGCUGUACUUUCGCCAGUCCCACUUCCACAGCAAUGGCCCAGGAGCAAGUUUACACACCAAUUUACGUUACUGCUUAGAUGACCAUUUGAGGUCUUGAGGGUCAGGGCUGGCCGUGAACACUUUUCAGAUCCUUAGGACAUAAAACACCCAGGAUUCAGCCUUGUUUGACUUGGGUUUUAUCACAAGCUGACCUGAGGGACACCCUGUUACUUAAGUGGGACGUGCUCACGUGGCCACACCGAGAGUGGCAACUCUGUUUUUAC